This 252-nucleotide ribosomal RNA is filed under the name uncultured bacterium. RNAcentral's name for it is "partial 16S ribosomal RNA". It matches the Rfam family "Bacterial small subunit ribosomal RNA", at positions 524 to 776 of the family's 1533-position model. The record is from RNAcentral.
UACGGAGGAUGCGAGCGUUAUCCGGAUUUAUUGGGUUUAAAGGGUGCGUAGGCGGGAUGCCAAGUCAGCGGUCAAAUACGGGGGCUCAACCUGCGCCCGCCGUUGAAACUGGCGUUCUUGAGUGGGCGAGAAGUACGCGGAAUGCGUGGUGUAGCGGUGAAAUGCAUAGAUAUCACGCAGAACCCCGAUUGCGAAGGCAGCGUACCGGCGCCCAACUGACGCUGAAGCACGAAAGCGUGGGUAUCGAACAGG